UACGUAGGGUGCAAGCGUUGUCCGGAAUUAUUGGGCGUAAAGAGCUCGUAGGCGGUCUGUCGCGUCUGGUGUGAAAAUCCAGGGCUUAACCCUGGACCUGCAUCGGGUACGGGCAGACUAGAGUGCGGUAGGGGAGAUCGGAAUUCCCAGUGUAGCGGUGAAAUGCGUAGAUAUUGGGAGGAACACCGGUGGCGAAGGCGGCUACCUGGACCGGUUCUGACGCUGAUGCGCGAAAGCGUGGGGGAGCAAACAGGG
Molecule: ribosomal RNA, 255 nt
Filed under: uncultured bacterium
Lineage: Bacteria
Description: partial 16S ribosomal RNA
Rfam family: Bacterial small subunit ribosomal RNA
Source: RNAcentral